GGGCUCACACAAGCGGUGGAGGAUGUGGCUUAAUUCGAGGAUACGCGAAGAACCUUAUCCUGGUCUUGACAUGUUUAGGAACCUCGGUGAAAGUCGAGGGUGCCCUUCGGGGAGCCUUUACACAGGUGCUGCAUGGCCGUCGUCAGCUCGUGUCGUGAGAUGUCGGGUUAAGUCCCUUAACGAGCGAAACCCCUAUCCUUAGUUGCCAGCAAUUCGGUUGGGGACUCUAGGGAGACUGCCGGUGUUAAACCGGAGGAAGGUGGGGACGACGUCAGGUCAUCAUGGCCUUUAUGACCAGGGCUGCACACGUCCUACAAUGGUGCGUACAAAGGGAAGCUAAGCAGUGAUGUGGAGCAAAUCCCAUAAAACGCGCCCCAGUUCGGAUUGCAGGCUGCAACUCGCCUGCAUGAAGCCGGAAUCGCUAGUAA
RNAcentral lists this ribosomal RNA (428 nucleotides) under uncultured bacterium. RNAcentral describes it as "bacterial SSU rRNA". It matches the Rfam family "Bacterial small subunit ribosomal RNA", at positions 917 to 1341 of the family's 1533-position model. The record is from RNAcentral.